UACGUAGGGACCAAGCGUUGUUCGGAUUUACUGGGCGUAAAGGGCGCGUAGGCGGCUUAACAAGUCACUUGUGAAAUCUCCGGGCUUAACUCGGAACGGCCAAGUGAAACUGUCAAGCUAGAGUGCAGAAGGGGCAAUCGGAAUUCUUGGUGUAGCGGUGAAAUGCGUAGAUAUCAGGAAGAACACCAAUGGCGAAGGCAGCUCUCUGGGACGGUACUGACGCUGAGACGCGAAAGCGUGGGGAGCGAACAGG
This 253-nucleotide ribosomal RNA is filed under the name uncultured bacterium. RNAcentral describes it as "partial 16S ribosomal RNA". It matches the Rfam family "Bacterial small subunit ribosomal RNA", at positions 524 to 776 of the family's 1533-position model. The record is from RNAcentral.